GCCCUGGCUGGUGUGGCUCAGUGGAUUGAGCACAGGCCUGUGAAGCCUGGGGUCACCGGUUCGAUUCCCGGUCAGGGCA
Artibeus jamaicensis (Jamaican fruit-eating bat) is the source of this 79-nucleotide non-coding RNA. The record is from the annotation of a RefSeq genome assembly. NCBI's taxonomy places the organism in Eukaryota, Metazoa, Chordata, Mammalia, Chiroptera, Phyllostomidae.